This 1383-nucleotide long non-coding RNA is filed under the name Pan troglodytes (chimpanzee). RNAcentral's name for it is "long non-coding RNA NONPTRT006411". The record is from RNAcentral. Lineage: Eukaryota; Metazoa; Chordata; Mammalia; Primates; Hominidae.
GUUUAAUUGAAAACACUCCAUCAGCCUUUUGAAAGUAAAUUUUGAGAUCCAGCGAGUGGGGCUGAUGAUAUCCAGACAGCCUGGGCAGCUGAGAUUCGGAGCUCAGCUCACACGAAGAGGCAGCCGAUCAGCUGUGCUCAUGAGCGGUGCAGGUGUGCAGCUGUGAGACGGUCAGCUGUGCUCGUGAGCGGUGCAGGUGUGCAGCUGUGAGACGGCCAGCUGUGCUCGUGAGCGGUGCAGGUGUGCAGCUGUGAGACGGUCAGCUGUGUUCGUGAGCAGUGCAGGUGUGCAGCUGUGAGGACAUUCCAGGGUCAUCAUUACCAGCUGUGACCUUGUGCCCCUGACUCCCCGACUUGGGUUCCUUUUCUUUAAAUGGGACUCAUCAAAUGAAAACCUCUCAGUGUUGUCGUGAGGAUUAAGCCAAAUAGUGCAAACAAAAUGCCUAGCACGGUACAGCGGUUUACAGUCAAUGCUUUCAAUGGCGCUGGCUGUGAACAUUUGGUAACUGUAACCAGUUAACUUUCAGGGCUAGAUAUGACAACACAUCCUGCAAAUUCCUCCAUUUUAAUCUAAUCAAAAUAUAUAAUCUGCAAAAUACAAAAUAAAAGAGGAACACAGUGUCUGCUUGGGAAGGCUUCCAUUUACAAACAGCAUGUUGAAAAAGUUCACUUUAGUUUGGAGGACUCUGUUCCCAUAGCAACAGUGCUCUAAGUGUGUGUGUGGGGGGGCUUAAAGUCCAAGGACUCACAAGGGCAAAUUAACUCUUAGUUACGUGAAAUAUUGUGUUAGUCCUCAUAGGGUUAAACAAUGACUGUACUUGUAAUGAAACAAAGAAAAAAUUGAUAUGAAAAUAAGAUUGAAAUAUUUUAAAAUCCUGUGGCUCAAAGGAAAGCAGGAUGAACUAGGGGCCAAAUGAGGAAGCUGUGGGGCCUUGGGGUUUGAGACAGGGCACUUAAUUAAAUGUAAGGCUGUUUUCCUUGGUGCAAGGGCCCCCAUACUCAUCUGUAUUGUUCAGCCCUCAAGAGAAUCUUCACUGGCUGGUAAACGAACAAGAAUAGCUGGAGAAGGAAUACUUGAUAUAGUAUAAAAAAGGCCCUUGGCCAGGCAUGGUGGCUCCAGCCUGUAAUCCCAGCACUUUGGGAGGCUGAGACAGGACUGCUUGAGCCUAGGAGUUCUAGACCAGCCUGGGCAACACAGCAAGACCCAGGUGCGGUGGCACAAACCUGUAAUAUAAGCUACUUGGGAGGCUGAGGCAGGAGGACUGCCUGAGCCCAGGAGCUUCAGGCUCCAAGUCAGCUAUGACUGUGCCACUGCACUCCAGCCUGGGCAACAGAGCGAGACCUCGAAAACUAGGGGGUGAGCAGGUUAAAGCUGAGUUCUCUG